RNAcentral lists this long non-coding RNA (3979 nucleotides) under Capra hircus (goat). RNAcentral's name for it is "lncRNA (ENSCHIG00010001888.1)". Lineage: Eukaryota; Metazoa; Chordata; Mammalia; Artiodactyla; Bovidae. The record is from RNAcentral.
AGCUAUUUUCAUCUCAGCAUGAAAGAAAUGCACCAUCCUCUCCUCAAAAAUAAAAAUCUCUAAUGAAGAAAACAGUACAUUAAAUGCCACAACUGACGUGCUACUAGAAAUAGGAAGAAGUAGUUACUGCUUUCCAAGGCAGACACCACGAUGCUUUCUGUUUCCCUCUGCUUGGCUAAAACUCUGGGCAAGCCCCAGGCUGGGGAGGUGGGGGGACCCUGAGUCCUACCCGGGAGCUCUACGGGACAGUCUCAGUUUAGGCAGGGCCCUGCACGACCGGUCCCAAAGGCCUCGCCUCAACAGGCGCGGGCCGGGCGGGCGGGUUCGCCUCCCGAGCCCGCCCCAGGAUGUCCAGAGGCGCUUUCAGCUGCGAUAAGACGCCGCCCUAACCAGGUGUUGACAGUUACUCCCGCGCGGCCGACGCCCGCUCAGCUGGAGACGCUUCGUCACCGCCUCCGCGCGUCGUCACGUGACGGGAAGGGGGCGUGACCGAGCCCGACCACAGGGGGCGGGGCGGGGCGGGUCCUCGAAUGUGAAGGAGCUUGGCGGCUCCGGAGGCCCAGAGCGGCGGCGGCGCGGCCGAUGACAGCAUCAGGCCGCGACGCGUUCCCGGGCGGGCGGCGGUGGUAGCAGCCCCAGCGGCUGCAGCGAUAGCUGUCGUCGGCGCGGUAGCCGCUGCCGGUAGCCCGCAGACAGAGGGAGGUGGGGGCCCGCCCCUGCUGGCAGACCGUAGGGCCGGCGUUCCCGCCCUCUUCGCGGGCCGAGCGGGCACUGCCUUCUCGGCCGCGAGGCAGCGCCCUUGGGCUGGGCUCGUGCCCCAGCUGCCGCCGGCGACUGCGGCCGAGAGAAGUUGGGGUCCGACUGGACGCGUGCGGGGCCCCACAGGAACCGACCGCCCGCGCCCCGCCUCUCCGGGGGCUCCGCACCGGAGGACCACAGUUAAUGUGAAGCCGAAUUAAGAGAAUUUCAAGGUCAACCCCAGUUGCAGAGUAACGUCUUUCAAGCUCCCGUGUGCAUAUGCAUGAGGCAGGGGAUGGGGGUGAAGACAGACUUCAGCCAUUUGGAGGUGCAUUUUCUUGGUGACAUAUUUUUGUCUAAUGUUUUUUAAAGCAAAAACAUAUCAACAUAUGCUGUCUGUAAAAUUGAACAGCUACAGAAGCUCAUCCAGUUAGUUUCUGUUGCCACUAGACCCCACUUUAUGUCCCGAAGAAUCUGCUUGUUAUCAGUUUGGUAUUAUUCUUCCAGGUAUUCUUCCCCUUGUCCCUCCUUCCCCUAAUCCCCCACCCCCACCCUGUAUAUGUACAUGUAUGUAUAAUUAAAAAAAAAAACAGAACUGGGAUUAUAAUUCUGUUUUGCAGUUUUUUUCCACCAGUCAAAACAUAUUACAUAUAAAAGGCUGAAUCUUAAUAAUUCUUCCCAUUGAAUUUGUAUUUUGCUCUCUGAACAUCAAACUGAGUCUUGAGAGUGGGGUUCUGGUUUCUUUUGCUCCAUGAUCUUGGGCAAGUCACUUAAUCCCUCUAUGAUUAGUUUCCCCAUCUGUAAAAUUUAGAGAUGGUCAGUGAUUGAUUUGAAGAUUUCUAAUAUCUCUAAGGGCUUCCCAGAUGGUUCAGUGGUGAAGAAUCCUCCUGUCGGGCAGGAGUCAGAGGUUCAAUCCCUGGGUCGGGAAGAUCCCCUGGAUAAGAAAAUGGCAACGCACUCCAGUAUUCCGCCUGGGAUCCCGUGGACAGAGGAGUGUGGCGGGCUAUAGUCCACGGGGUCACAAGGAGGAGGACGCAACUGACGGACUGACCAACGACAGAGGAGAGGAGAUGUGCUCUGAGGCAGGAGCUGUGCUUUCUGCUCCUCGGCUUUCCACUUUGCAAUUACUGGCUAAGUAAAAUUUUCGCAAAAUGCUUGAGAAGGCAGAGCAGUCUCUGAGUGAGGUGGUUUGGCUUUGGAAUUAGCGUUGCUCUGUUCUUACUGUGAAUAUUACAUUUAUUUCCUGCUUUCAGUGUCUUCAGUUGCUCAUUCUAUUUCCUUUUCAUUUUUCUCUGGUUUUAAUUAUUUUAACCUUUUUUUAACCCAUAGUGUUCUUUGUCCUUUAAACUUGUAGGGACUCUUCGUAUUCCUAAUCUUAAGCUUAUGUUUUUCUGAUAUUUUCUUGUCACUUUUAUAUCUUUUGAAUUUCUCUGGCCUUUAUAUUUGAAUUUUUGUGCUUAAACCCUUUUUAAACAAUUAGCUAUUUUUUUCAAAUAGCAUUUUAUUAAGGCAGAGACACAAGAAUAAAGAAGAAUAAUUGAGAAAACGAAUGACUCCAACUGUGGCUUGCCCAGGGCGAGCUUUAGUUUGUUUUUAUUGACACAUGUAUUCUUUUUUCUAUAAACCUGGCUGCUGGGUUGCAUAGUUCUUUUAUGAUGGGCUUCGAAUAUAUCACUACUACUACUACUACUAAGUCACGUCAGUUGUGUCCGACUCUGUGCGACCCCAUAGAUGGCCAAAAAGUUCAGUUCUUCCAUAAUCUUAUGGGAAGACAGAACAAACGUUUUGGUCAGCCUAAUGCUUCACACUCUGAGUAAGAGAUUCAGGGUGACUUGUCCUCUCCACUUACCCAGGAGUAGCUCUCAGGGCUUCCGGUAACAGGCUUUCCUAUUCCUUUAAAUUUUCAAAUUUUCCUAGCUUUAACCUGAGUAUGCAUUAUGGGCAAAUUUCCCACCUCUAAAUAAAAUAAGUCUAUUUACAGUGAUAAAGCCUUGGAGCUAUACAUAAAAGGACUGCUGUCCUGUUUCUUAUCAUCCCUUUAAUUAUUUUGGAGGUGUUUGAUUUUAAAAGUUUCACAAUCUUCAUUUUAAAAACAAUAAAUAAUCUUUAGCAGUAUUAGCCUCCCCAGAUCUGCUUUCAAUAAAAAGUGAAAAGAAAAAACAGUGGUGGGUCUUGCCUAAUGGUUUACUGCUAAUCUUAUUAUUAAAAACUUUUUUCUAAUUUAUAUUUCUUUAGUAGCUUCCUUUUUUAGUGUACAUAGAGGAAAUUCUUUGAAAACUAUUUUAUGAUAUAAUACCCUAUUGUCAUGAAAAAUGAAUGUUAAAGAGACAAGCAUUUGUGACUGAUAAAUCAAUAAUUGUUUAUGUCUUCAUAGAGACUUCAGUUAUUACUUGGAUGUGUAACAGACAGGCCCAAAAAAACAAAGGUAGAUGAGGUCAUUCUUCAGCCUCUGGGCCGCGGCCUCUGACUGGUCAUAGCUCUGAGGUGGGUGAAGCAGGUGAAACCUCGUUUUCCAGCUGACUGUCCCUAUAUAAGGUCCUUUCUCCAUAAGAGAUUUGAGUGGAUUCAGUCCUGUAGCUGUGCUGGCCUCACUGGAGCUACAUUGCUGCUACUCGGGUUAAAGGUCAGCAUUAUUGUCCUUUAAUAUUCUGUCUCUCAUUGUGCCAUCUCAUUCUGCAUUUCUGAAUGUUCCUCAUUCUCGCAACUAAAUAGCUCAGAUUAUUACUCUUUUGGCCAAGUCUUUAGACAGAAGGCUUCCCAGGUGGCGCUUCGUGGUAAAGAACUGCCUCCCAGUGCAGGAGAUGUAAGAGGCGUGGGUUCGAUCCCUGGGUCUCUAGAAGAUCCCUGGACGAUCACCUGGGGGAGGGUGUGGCAGCCUGCUCCAGUGUUCCUACCUGGAGAAUCCUGAGGACAGAGGAGCUUAGCCGGCUACAGUCCAUACGGUCACAGAGUCAGACACAACUGAAGCAACUUAGCUUGCACGUCCCAGAUACAAAGCAUUGAAAAAACACUUUUCUGUGUAUAAAAUAUACAAAGGAAUUAUUCUGCCACAUAUGUAAAAUCUUAAUAAAUAUUUACGUUAGUUUAAAUGUCAUUAAAAUGCAAAACCUGCACUCUUUUAUUAAACCUUUUUACAUGUAUACAUGUAAAAAUAUUUCAAAAUUAUGAAUACCUAAGAAUCCUAAUCUUGGUCACUUUCAGUUCAGUUCAGUCGCUCAGUCGUGUCCGACUCUUUGUGACC